GACGAACGCUGGCGGCGUGCUUAACACAUGCAAGUCGAACGGAAAGGCCCUGCUUUUGUGGGGUGCUCGAGUGGCGAACGGGUGGGUAACACGUGAGUAACCUGCCCUUGACUUUGGGAUAACUUCAGGAAACUGGGGCUAAUACCGGAUAGGAGCUCCUGCUGCAUGGUGGGGGUUGGAAAGUUUCGGCGGUUGGGGAUGGACUCGCGGCUUAUCAGCUUGUUGGUGGGGUAGUGGCUUACCAAGGCUUUGACGGGUAGCCGGCCUGAGAGGGUGACCGGCCACAUUGGGACUGAGAUACGGCCCAGACUCCUACGGGGGGCAGCAGUGGGGAAUAUUGCACAAUGGGCGGAAGCCUGAUGCAGCAACGCCGCGUGCGGGAUGACGGCCUUCGGGUUGUAAACCGCUUUCGCCUGUGACGAAGCGUGAGUGACGGUAAUGGGUAAAGAAGCACCGGCUAACUACGUGCCAGCAGCCGCGGUGAUACGUAGGGUGCGAGCGUUGUCCGGAUUUAUUGGGCGUAAAGGGCUCGUAGGUGGUUGAUCGCGUCGGAAGUGUAAUCUUGGGGCUUAACCCUGAGCGUGCUUUCGAUACGGGCUGACUUGAGGAAGGUAGGGGAGAAUGGAUUUCCUGGUGGAGCGGUGGAAUGCGCAGAUAUCAGGAGGAACACCAGUGGCGAAGGCGGUUCUCUGGGCCUUUCCUGACGCUGAGGAGCGAAAGCGUGGGGAGCGAACAGGCUUAGAUACCCUGGUAGUCCACGCUGUAAACGGUGGGUACUAGGUGUGGGGUCCAUUCCACGGGUUCCGUGCCGUAGCUAACGCUUUAAGUACCCCGCCUGGGGAGUACGGCCGCAAGGCUAAAACUCAAAGGAAUUGACGGGGCCCCGCACAAGCGGCGGAGCAUGCGGAUUAAUUCGAUGCAACGCGUAGAACCUUACCUGGGUUUGACAUGGAUCGGGAGUGCUCAGAGAUGGGUGUGCCUCUUUUGGGGUCGGUUCACAGGUGGUGCAUGGCUGUCGUCAGCUCGUGUCGUGAGAUGUUGGGUUAAGUCCCGCAACGAGCGCAACCCUUGUUCACUGUUGCCAGCACGUUAUGGUGGGGACUCAGUGGAGACCGCCGGGGUCAACUCGGAGGAAGGUGGGGAUGACGUCAAGUCAUCAUGCCCCUUAUGUCCAGGGCUUCACGCAUGCUACAAUGGCUGGUACAGAGAGUGGCGAGCCUGUGAGGGUGAGCGAAUCUCGGAAAGCCGGUCUCAGUUCGGAUUGGGGUCUGCAACUCGACCUCAUGAAGUCGGAGUCGCUAGUAAUCGCAGAUCAGCAACGCUGCGGUGAAUACGUUCCCGGG
Molecule: ribosomal RNA, 1343 nt
Filed under: uncultured bacterium
Lineage: Bacteria
Description: 16S ribosomal RNA
Rfam family: Bacterial small subunit ribosomal RNA
Source: RNAcentral